UGGGGAAUAUUGCGCAAUGGGGGGAACCCUGACGCAGCCAUGCCGCGUGAAUGAAGAAGGCCUUCGGGUUGUAAAGUUCUUUCGGUAUUGAGGAAGGUUGAUGUGUUAAUAGCACAUCAAAUUGACGUUAAAUACAGAAGAAGCACCGGCUAACUCCGUGCCAGCAGCCGCGGUAAUACGGAGGGUGCGAGCGUUAAUCGGAAUAACUGGGCGUAAAGGGCACGCAGGCGGUUAUUUAAGUGAGGUGUGAAAGCCCUGGGCUUAACCUAGGAAUUGCAUUUCAGACUGGGUAACUAGAGUACUUUAGGGAGGGGUAGAAUUCCACGUGUAGCGGUGAAAUGCGUAGAGAUGUGGAGGAAUACCGAAGGCGAAGGCAGCCCCUUGGGAAUGUACUGACGCUCAUGUGCGAAAGCGUGGGGAGCAAACAGGAUUAGAUACCCUGGUAGUCCACGCUGUAAACGCUGUCGAUUUGGGGGUUGGGGUUUAACUCUGGCGCCCGUAGCUAACGUGAUAAAUCGACCGCCUGGGGAGUACGGCCGCGAGGUUA
Molecule: ribosomal RNA, 547 nt
Filed under: uncultured bacterium
Lineage: Bacteria
Description: bacterial SSU rRNA
Rfam family: Bacterial small subunit ribosomal RNA
Source: RNAcentral